This 228-nucleotide ribosomal RNA is filed under the name uncultured bacterium. Its description in RNAcentral is "partial 16S ribosomal RNA". It matches the Rfam family "Bacterial small subunit ribosomal RNA", at positions 524 to 748 of the family's 1533-position model. The record is from RNAcentral.
UACAGAGGUCCCAAGCGUUGUUCGGAUUCACUGGGCGUAAAGGGUGCGUAGGUGGUUGGGAAAGUUUGAUGUGAAAGCUCGGAGCUUAACUCCGAAAUGGCAUUGAAUACUUCUUAACUUGAGGGUCGGAGGGGAGACUGGAAUUCUCGGUGUAGCAGUGAAAUGCGUAGAUAUCGAGAGGAACACCAGUGGCGAAGGCGAGUCUCUGGGACGACUCCCUGACGACUG